Molecule: ribosomal RNA, 440 nt
Filed under: uncultured bacterium
Lineage: Bacteria
Description: bacterial SSU rRNA
Rfam family: Bacterial small subunit ribosomal RNA
Source: RNAcentral
UACGGGAGGCAGCAGUGGGGAAUAUUGCACAAUGGGCGCAAGCCUGAUGCAGCCAUGCCGCGUGUAUGAAGAAGGCCUUCGGGUUGUAAAGUACUUUCAGUCGUGAGGAAGGUGUUAAGGUUAAUAACCUUAGCAAUUGACGUUAGCGACAGAAGAAGCACCGGCUAACUCCGUGCCAGCAGCCGCGGUAAUACGGAGGGUGCGAGCGUUAAUCGGAAUUACUGGGCGUAAAGGGCACGCAGGCGGUUAAUUAAGUUGGAUGUGAAAUCCCCGGGCUUAACCUGGGAAUGGCAUUCAAGCUGGUUAGCUAGAGUCUUGUAGAGGGGGUAGAAUUCCAUGUGUAGCGGUGAAAUGCGUAGAGAUGGUGGAGGAAUACCGGUGGCGAAGGCGGCCCCUGGACAAAGGCUGACGCUCAUGUGCGAAAGCGUGGGGAGCGAAAC